Molecule: ribosomal RNA, 493 nt
Filed under: uncultured bacterium
Lineage: Bacteria
Description: bacterial SSU rRNA
Rfam family: Bacterial small subunit ribosomal RNA
Source: RNAcentral
ACUCAAAGGAAUAGACGGGGGCCCGCACAAGCAGUGGAGUAUGUGGUUUAAUUCGAAGCAACGCGAAGAACCUUACCAGGGCUUGACAUGGAGACGAUCGGCGCAGAGAUGCGUCUUCCUUUCGGGGCGUCUCACACAGGUGGUGCAUGGUUGUCGUCAGCUCGUGUCGUGAGAUGUUGGGUUAAGUCCCGCAACGAGCGCAACCCUUACGGUUAGUUGCUACGCGAGAGCACUCUAGCCGGACUGCCGUUGACAAAACGGAGGAAGGCGGGGACGACGUCAAAUCAUCAUGCCCCUUAUGUCCUGGGCUACACACGUACUACAAUGGCGGUCAUACAACGGGUUGCUAUCCCGCGAGGGUGAGCUAAUCCCCAAAAGCCGCCUCAGUUCAGAUUGCAGGCUGCAACUCGCCUGCAUGAAGUCGGAAUUGCUAGUAAUCGCGGAUCAGCAUGCCGCGGUGAAUACGUUCCCGGGCCUUGCACACACCGCCCGU